UCAGUAACACGUAGUCAACAUGCCCAAAGGACGUGGAUUACCUCGGGAAACUGAGGAUAAACCGGAUAGGUCAAGGUUUCUGGAAUGAGCCAUGGCGAAAUCUAUAUGGCUUUGGAUUGGACUGCGGGCGAUCAGGCUGUUGGUGAGGUAAUGGCCCACCAAACCUGUAACCGGUACGGGCUUUGAGAGAAGGAGCCCGGAGAUGGGCACUGAGACAAGGGCCCAGGCCCUAUGGGGCGCAGCAGGCGCGAAACCUCUGCAAUAGGCGAAAGCUUGACAGGGUUACUCUGAGUGAUGCCCGCUAAGGGUAUCCUUUUGGCACCUCUAAAAAUGGUGCAGAAUAAGGGGUGGGCAAGUCUGGUGCCAGC
Molecule: ribosomal RNA, 368 nt
Filed under: unidentified archaeon
Lineage: Archaea
Description: bacterial SSU rRNA
Rfam family: Archaeal small subunit ribosomal RNA
Source: RNAcentral